RNAcentral lists this ribosomal RNA (484 nucleotides) under uncultured bacterium. Its description in RNAcentral is "partial 16S ribosomal RNA". It matches the Rfam family "Bacterial small subunit ribosomal RNA", at positions 30 to 507 of the family's 1533-position model. The record is from RNAcentral.
AUUGAACGCUGGCGGCAGGCCUAACACAUGCAAGUCGAGCGGAUGAAGGGAGCUUGCUCCUGGAUUCAGCGGCGGACGGGUGAGUAAUGCCUAGGAAUCUUCCUGUUAGUGGUGGAUUACGUCCGGAAACGGGCGCUUAUACCCCAUACGUCCUGAGGGCGACAUUGGGGGUUCUUCGGACCUCUCGCUAUCAUAUAUGCCUAGGUCGGAUUAGCUCGUUUGUGGGGUAAAGUCCUUCCCAGGCGGCGAUCCGUAACUGGUCUGAGAGGAUGAUCAGUGGCACUAGAAGUGAGACACGGUCCAGACGCCUGAGGGAGGCAGCAGUGGGGAAUAGUAGACAGUGGGCGAAAGCCUGAUACAGACGGGCCGAGUGUGUGAAGAAGGUCUUCGGAUAGGAAAGAACUUUAAGGUGGGAGGAAGGGCAGUAAGUUAAUAACUUGCUGUAGUGACGUUACCAACAGAAGAAGCACCGGCUAACUUCGUG